Molecule: ribosomal RNA, 497 nt
Filed under: uncultured bacterium
Lineage: Bacteria
Description: partial 16S ribosomal RNA
Rfam family: Bacterial small subunit ribosomal RNA
Source: RNAcentral
GAUGAACGCUGGCGGCGUGCCUAAUACAUGCAGGUCGAGCGAACGGACGAGAAGCUUGCUUCUCUGAUGUUAGCGGCGGACGGGUGAGUAACACGUGGAUAACCUACCUAUAAGACUGGGAUAACUUCGGGAAACCGGAGCUAAUACCGGAUAAUAUUUUGAACCGCAUGGUUCAAAAGUGAAAGACGGUCUUGCUGUCACUUAUAGAUGGAUCCGCGCUGCAUUAGCUAGUUGGUAAGGUAACGGCUUACCAAGGCAACGAUGCUUAGACGACCUGAGAGGCUGAUCGCCCACCCUGGAACUGGGCCACGGUCCAGCCUCCUACGGGAGGCAGCAGUAGGGAAUCUUCCGCAAUGGGCGAAAGCCUGACGGAGCAACGCCGCGUGAGUGAUGAAGGUCUUCGGAUCGUAAAACUCUGUUAUUAGGGAAGAACAUAUGUGUAAGUAACUGUGCACAUCUUGACGGUACCUAAUCAGAAAGCCACGGCUAACUACGUG